This 106-nucleotide small nucleolar RNA is filed under the name Gossypium hirsutum (cotton). Its description in RNAcentral is "Plant small nucleolar RNA R71". It matches the Rfam family "Plant small nucleolar RNA R71". From Rfam's summary of the family: R71 is a member of the C/D box family of snoRNAs containing the C (UGAUGA) and D (CUGA) box motifs. Multiple nearly identical copies of this snoRNA have been identified in Arabidopsis, and it is thought to function as a 2'-O-ribose methylation guide for 18S ribosomal RNA. The record is from Rfam by way of RNAcentral. Lineage: Eukaryota; Viridiplantae; Streptophyta; Magnoliopsida; Malvales; Malvaceae.
AAACCAUGCAUUGGGCAUUUUCUAAUUAACUCCUUGAAUCACUCCCAUGCUUCAUAUAAUGUUUCAUCCUAGAUUGUCGAAAGGAUGUAAUAUCGUUCCUCAAUUU